Molecule: non-coding RNA, 83 nt
Filed under: Staphylococcus pseudintermedius
Lineage: Bacteria; Bacillati; Bacillota; Bacilli; Caryophanales; Staphylococcaceae
Source: RNAcentral
ACAAACAAAUUGUAAAAGUAAAUAACACAUAUUAUUUAAACUCUUUAGACAUCUAACAACCGCCAAGCGUUAGGUGUCUUUUU